This 254-nucleotide ribosomal RNA is filed under the name uncultured bacterium. Its description in RNAcentral is "partial 16S ribosomal RNA". It matches the Rfam family "Bacterial small subunit ribosomal RNA", at positions 524 to 776 of the family's 1533-position model. The record is from RNAcentral.
UACGUAGGGUGCGAGCGUUGUCCGGAAUUAUUGGGCGUAAAGAGCUCGUAGGCGGUGUGUCACGUCGGCCGUGAAAACCUGCAGCUUAACUGUGGGCGUGCGGUCGAUACGGGCAUCACUGGAGUUCGGCAGGGGAGACUGGAAUUCCCGGUGUAGCGGUGAAAUGCGCAGAUAUCAGGAAGAACACCCGUGGCUAAGGCGGCUCUCUAGUACGGUACUGACGCUGAGACGCGAAAGCGUGGGGAGCGAACAGG